RNAcentral lists this ribosomal RNA (400 nucleotides) under uncultured bacterium. Its description in RNAcentral is "bacterial SSU rRNA". It matches the Rfam family "Bacterial small subunit ribosomal RNA", at positions 356 to 773 of the family's 1533-position model. The record is from RNAcentral.
GGGGAAUAUUGGACAAUGGGGGCAACCCUGAUCCAGCCAUGCCGCGUGAGUGAUGAAGGCCUUCGGGUUGUAAAGCUCUUUUGGCGGGGACGAUGAUGACGGUACCCGCAGAAUAAGCCCCGGCUAACUUCGUGCCAGCAGCCGCGGUAAGACGAAGGGGGCAAGCGUUGUUCGGAAUUACUGGGCGUAAAGCGAGUGUAGGUGGUUGUCAUAGUCAGGUGUGAAAGCCUUGAGCUCAACUCAAGAAAUGCACUUGAUACUGGGCGACUAGAGGACCGGAGAGGAUAGUGGAAUUCCCAGUGUAGUGGUGAAAUACGUAGAGAUUGGGAAGAACACCAGUGGCGAAGGCGGCUAUCUGGACGGUUUCUGACACUAAGACUCGAAAGCGUGGGGAGCAAAC